UACGUAGGGGGCAAGCGUUAUCCGGAUUCACUGGGUGUAAAGGGAGCGUAGACGGCCAUGCAAGCCUGGAGUGAAAGCCCAGGGCCCAACCCCGGGACUGCUCUGGGAACUGUGCGGCUGGAGUGCGGGAGGGGCAGGCGGAAUUCCUGGUGUAGCGGUGAAAUGCGUAGAUAUCAGGAGGAACACCGGCGGCGAAGGCGGCCUGCUGGACCGCGACUGACGUUGAGGCUCGAAAGCGUGGGGAGCAAACAGG
RNAcentral lists this ribosomal RNA (253 nucleotides) under uncultured bacterium. RNAcentral describes it as "partial 16S ribosomal RNA". It matches the Rfam family "Bacterial small subunit ribosomal RNA", at positions 524 to 776 of the family's 1533-position model. The record is from RNAcentral.